AACCUCCGCAAUGUGAGAAAUCGCGACGGGGGGAUCCCAAGUGCCAUUCUUAACGGGGUGGCUUUUCUUAAGUGUAAAAAGCUUUUGGAAUAAGAGCUGGGCAAGACCGGUGCCAGCCGCCGCGGUAACACCGGCAGCUCUAGUGGUAGCUGUUUUUAUUGGGCCUAAAGCGUUCGUAGCCGGUUUGAUAAGUCACUGGUGAAAUCCUGUAGCUUAACUGUGGGAAUUGCUGGUGAUACUGUUGAACUUGAGGUCGGGAGAGGUUAGCGGUACUCCCAGGGUAGAGGUGAAAUUCUGUAAUCCUGGGAGGACCACCUGUGGCGAAGGCGGCUAACUGGAACGAACCUGACGGUGAGGGACAAAGCUGGGGGCGCGAACCGGAUUAGAUACCCGGGUAGUCCUAGCCGUAAACGAUGCGGACUUGGUGUUGGGGUGGCUUUGAGCCGCUCCGGUGCCGAAGGGAAGCUGUUAAGUCCGCCGCCUGGGAAGUACGGUCGCAAGACUGAAACUUAAAGGAAUU
This 520-nucleotide ribosomal RNA is filed under the name uncultured bacterium. RNAcentral's name for it is "bacterial SSU rRNA". It matches the Rfam family "Archaeal small subunit ribosomal RNA", at positions 345 to 866 of the family's 1478-position model. The record is from RNAcentral.